Molecule: long non-coding RNA, 395 nt
Organism: Sinocyclocheilus rhinocerous
Lineage: Eukaryota; Metazoa; Chordata; Actinopteri; Cypriniformes; Cyprinidae
Exons: 3
Source: RefSeq, a predicted model, not a curated record
UGCGGCACUGAAUUAGCUCGUUGUCCAUCCAACACAUACUGCUUCAACACAGAUGGCUCUUAUGAAUGCAGAGGUUGUGAUCAGGCGUGUGUGGGCUGCAUGGGAAGCGGACCUGCUCGCUGUAAGAAAUGUGCUCGAGGUUUCAGACUCACUGGAGCAAAGUGUCUAGACAUCGAUGAGUGUUCGGAGAGAGCCAUCGCCUGUCCUGGACUCAAUGAAGCUUGUAUAAAUGAGGAGGGCUCGUUCCGCUGCGAGUGUGCGGAGGGAUUCAGUCGACGGGACAGCAUUUGUGUGGAGAAUCUGCCACCGAGUGAGUAAACACAUGCUCAAGCCCAACGCUUCCACACUAAGAGUAUGACAAAAUGAGCUGAAUAAAGCAUGAACUAGUUUGAUGA